Molecule: long non-coding RNA, 2651 nt
Organism: Athalia rosae (coleseed sawfly)
Lineage: Eukaryota; Metazoa; Arthropoda; Insecta; Hymenoptera; Athaliidae
Exons: 3
Source: RefSeq, a predicted model, not a curated record
GGCGGAUUAUUUCGAAGAAGAGAUGAACUAUGGGUCUCUGAAGAGCGGUGGGUGGCGGUACCUAUAGAUAAAUCGCAAAUAAAGCAGCUACGUGAGAAGAUUUCUCUCGACGGAAUGAUUUAUGCAUGAAAAUGGGGUGCAACUCGCCGUCGGGGGAUUCAAUGAGAGGCCAUGGAAGUUUUAGCCGAAUCGCGCCGCUCGCGCUUAGAGCCAAUCAACUACCAAUUUAAUCCAAUAAACUAUUUAUAGCUUCGCUGGUAUUGAGUUAACUACGGUAUCGCUUCCGUUGAAUGCAAUAAUUACUCCCAUAUUUUACGUUGUACGCAGGUAUAUUUUUAGAACGAUCCCCUUCCGGGAAAUCACCGAUCGUCUUCGAUACUUCGAGAUCGCAAGGUGCCUCAAAAUUCAAUUUCAAACGUGUAAAAUGUUUUCAGUCGAAGAGUGAAAUUGAAAUAAAUGGAUCAUGUAAAAAUCGUACGUUGCACUGCAAACAUUUCGAUCAUAUCAUACAAAAGAUAAAGUCAUUAAUUUAUUGUGCAGCCUGAAAAAGUAAAAAAAAGUUCAGAGAAAAUCGCCUAUCUUAUUCAGACAGUAUUUUUGUGGAUUAAUUUUCUCUGUCAUCAAUUGAAUACUUUGGUUAUGCCUCUCUGACAUUUUCCCUGCGAUAUUGCGUUCCCAUGGAAUGUCGAUUUAACGACCAAUUGGAAAAUCAAAAAAAGGGCUCGAUCAGAAAGAAGCACGUAGUAAUUAUGUAUCUUCUUGUAAAUUAAACUUCAAUUUCUGUUCGAAAGGUCUGCAUAUUUAUCUUUUAGUUAAAAUAUACAGUUUGAAAAGUUAGCAUAACUUACAUUAGAAGUAUGGGAUGGUAUGGGUAUAGGUACGAUCGUAACCGUAGCCGGUGGAUCGAUGCGCAAUUUUCUUGCCCAUGGGAAAUUUUUGUCGCAAUAACAGGUGGCUCUGGUGUAAUUUUCAGAAUGGCUCACGCGCCUUAAUGUUGGAUGGAAAAAAAAAGUUUCAUCAGCCUGAAAAAAAUCUAGUACGUUCUAGACACACGUAUGCAAAGAGUUUUCGAAUGCGCGGUGCAGCCGGCGUUCGCAUUUUAAUUUUCAACCCCGUAUAUAAGACGAACCGCAGUUUUGAAUUACAGAGGUUGCUGCUUAUCGAAAAAAACUGGAAAAGCGAGAAUUUAACAGAGAACAAUGUGUCUCCGACGAAGAACACUUUCAAGUCUCCCUCAUCCCUUGGAAGCUUCUCGACCUCCGUACUCCAUUUUAUGCGACGGAGGAAGCGAGUGUAGAAUCUACGCAUAACGACAUCAGAGAAACUACCCUCUGAUAAGACUAGUUCUCAGAAUGUUCUACACCACACGAAUUCCUCCCCGACAGCUACGGCUUCAAAGAGCGCGGUACGUCACUAACAAAUUAAGCUUAUCGUAUCGAGAGAGGGGAAUGAUGAGAUGCGAAUUCGAAAUUGAAAUAAUAUCGUCUUCAAAAGCACAGCUUUAGGUUCGUACGUACCGUUUAAAGUUGGGUGAAUCACGCAUACCCUCUACGGCGGCUGCAGCGUGUUUGCGAAGUUCGUCUGCAGUGCCGUUACACUUGUUAAUUUUAAUAACGACAAUAAUAAUGAAAAUAAUAAGUUUACGUGCUCAUCCAACGCACACGUAUGUACCUGUAGAUGCACACUUAGAUAUGUGAGCAAAAUAAUUAUGGGAGGCACCAAUUACGGUUGCACCCUGCGCGAUAAUCCGUCGGGAAACAUACCCUUACAUGUAGGUACAUACGUAUACCUCGACUUAUAUGUAGUCGCAUGUAUGUUUACAGAAAUAAUGUAAUAGAUGCGGCAUAGAUAUCGCUGCGUUAAUUAAAUUCUUGAUUAAACAAUCAAGACGAAAUUAUAAUCCUCUCUGUGAGAAUAUUUCCGUGAUAUUCACCCCCGAAAUUCUACUUUCGCUCGCUCGUCUCAUUCCUCGCUAACUCACGGGAAAUUAGAAAAUGGAAAAAAAGUAAUAAUUUCCCCUAUUUUUACAUCUGCGAUCGUCGUCGCAGCUCUCUAAUCUCCGGUGAGUGAGACACCCGUCCCAUCUCGCCUCACAGGUUUCUGUUUCGACACCGUCCUGUCGUCGUCAUCACCACCUGCAGGAAUUGAAAAACCUCGCGCGUUAUCACACAUUCGAAUAUCUACUCUUUAUAGCGCGGAUCUAGAGCCAAGAAUAAUGUUGUCAAUGGGAUUGUUAACCGCAGGUCAAACAAUUCAACAUCUUCGGAGCUAUCAUUAUUAUCAUACACGCUGCAGAAGAAUGUACGCAAUUCGAGUGCAUUGCGCGCUUUGUCUCAAACAAUUUUUAUCUAAGAAUGAAGGCGAAAGUACCAAAUUUCUUCGUAAAAAUUCUUAUUGUCUAUAAUUUUGAGAAAAGAAAAGAAUAAUCUAUGAAAUUAACCGUUACUUACUUAAAUUCGUUUUAUAACAAACCAUCGCAAAUCUUCCACAAUUUUCACAUCUGAAUAAUUUACUAAAAAGGAAUGAACGUUAGAACCCGAAUAGUCGUUCAAGGUACCCCCUAUGAAGUUUUUCGUAGGCUGUGACUUCAGGUAACCUUAGAGUUACAGAGGUCGUAAACUUUGGUGCGUCAGAGGGUUGGGAGAAUCAUC